Molecule: ribosomal RNA, 752 nt
Filed under: uncultured Glomus
Lineage: Eukaryota; Fungi; Glomeromycota; Glomeromycetes; Glomerales; Glomeraceae
Description: SSU rRNA
Rfam family: Eukaryotic small subunit ribosomal RNA
Source: RNAcentral
GGCCUACCAUGGUGGUAACGGGUAACGGGGUGUUAGGGCACGACACCGGAGAGGGAGCCUGAGAAACGGCUACCACAUCCAAGGAUGGCAGCAGGCGCGCAAAUUACCCAAUCCCGACACGGGGAGGUAGUGACAAUAAAUAACAAUACGGGGUUCUUUCGGAUCUCGUAAUUGGAAUGAGUACAAUUUAAAUCUCUUAACGAGGAACAAUUGGAGGGCAAGUCUGGUGCCAGCAGCCGCGGUAAUUCCAGCUCCAAUAGCGUAUAUUAAAGUUGCUGCAGUUAAAAAGCUCGUAGUUGAAUUUCGGGACCAAUAUGUCGGUCGUGCUUCGGUACGUACUGUCAUAAUUGGUUUCUCCCUUCUGAAGAACCUUGAUGUCAUUAAUUUGGUGUCUUGGGGAAUCAGGACUGUUACUUUGAAAAAAUUAGAGUGUUUAAAGCAGGCUCGCGCUUGAAUACAUUAGCAUGGAAUAAUGAAAUAGGACGUUUGAUUCUAUUUUGUUGGUUUCUAGGAUCGACGUAAUGAUUAAUAGGGAUAGUUGGGGGCAUUAGUAUUCAAUUGUCGGAGGUGAAAUUCUUGGAUUUAUUGAAGACUAACUACUGCGAAAGCAUUUGCCAAGGAUGUUUUCAUUAAUCAAGAACGAAAGUUAGGGGAUCGAAGACGAUCAGAUACCGUCGUAGUCUUAACCAUAAACUAUGCCGACUAGGGAUCGGAUGAUGUUAAUUUUUUAAUGACUCAUUCGGCGCCUUACG